CCUACGGGAGGCAGCAGUGAGGAAUAUUGGUCAAUGGCCGAGAGGCUGAACCAGCCAAGUCGCGUGAGGGAUGACGGCCCUACGGGUUGUAAACCUCUUUUGUCGGGGAGCAAAGAGAGUCACGUGUGGCUCAUUGAGAGUACCCGAAGAAAAAGCAUCGGCAAACUCCGUGCCAGCAGCCGCGGUAAUACGGAGGAUGAGAGCGUUAUCCGGAUUUGUUGGGUUUAGAGGGUGCGCAGGCGGAGGUGCAAGUCAGUGGUCAAAUUGCGGGGCUAACCCCCGUACUGCCGUUGAAACUGCAGCCCUUGAGUGCGCACGAAGUAGGCGGAAUGCGUGGUGUAGCGGUGAAAUGCAUAGAUAUCACGCAGAACUCCGAUUGCGAAGGCAGCAUACCGGCGCGCAACUGACGCUCAUGCACGAAAGCGUGGGUAUCGAACAGGAUUAGAUACCCCAAUAGUC
RNAcentral lists this ribosomal RNA (459 nucleotides) under uncultured bacterium. RNAcentral describes it as "partial 16S ribosomal RNA". It matches the Rfam family "Bacterial small subunit ribosomal RNA", at positions 338 to 795 of the family's 1533-position model. The record is from RNAcentral.